CAGCGUCCUUAUUUCCCACAACGAAAUGAAGAGAGUGAUCUUGGCGAUACUACUGAUCGUUUCCCUGGUGGCGUCCACGGAAGCGGCAUGCGGUGCGUACAACAGCCGAUACCACAUUUGCUGCAAUGGAAGGGUCAGUUCUAGAGGUUAUAGAUAUUUGAUAAACGCAUGCUGCAAUACCACUGCGUACAACAGCCGAACCCACAUUUGCGUCGAUGGAAAGCCCAUAUGAUAACGGUUCGAACACUGGAUAUGCCUAAACAAUUCGUGUGGUUAAAUCUAUGCAUACAUCUAUGUUUGCGAUAUACAUGCAUGUUGCGAACAGUAAUCUACAUGGUUAUGUAUGUGCACUGGCGGAUUUCUCCAUAAACUGAACUGAUAUGAUUGAGUGCCACUAGUACAUAUGCUUAUGAAAUGGUAAUGAAUUAUGUAUACUGCGAUGAA
Molecule: long non-coding RNA, 444 nt
Organism: Priapulus caudatus
Lineage: Eukaryota; Metazoa; Priapulida; Priapulimorpha; Priapulimorphida; Priapulidae
Exons: 2
Source: RefSeq, a predicted model, not a curated record